UACCGAGGGGGCAAGCGUUAUUCGGAAUUACUGGGCGUAAAGAGCGUGUAGGCGGCCAAACAGGUCCGUUGUGAAAACUGGAGGCUUAACCUCCAGACGUCGACGGAAACCGUAUGGCUAGAGUCCGGAAGAGGAGAGUGGAAUUCCUGGUGUAGCGGUGAAAUGCGCAGAUAUCAGGAAGAACACCAAUGGCGAAGGCAGCUCUCUGGGACGGUACUGACGCUGAGACGCGAAAGCGUGGGGAGCGAACAGG
Molecule: ribosomal RNA, 253 nt
Filed under: uncultured bacterium
Lineage: Bacteria
Description: partial 16S ribosomal RNA
Rfam family: Bacterial small subunit ribosomal RNA
Source: RNAcentral